CCUACGGGAGGCAGCAGUGAGGAAUAUUGGUCAAUGGACGAGAGUCUGAACCAGCCAAGUAGCGUGAAGGAAGAAGGCUUUCGGGUUGUAAACUUCUUUUCUCAGGGACGAAGAAAGUGACGGUACCUGUGGAAUAAGCCACGGCUAACUACGUGCCAGCAGCCGCGGUAAUUCGUAGGUGGCAAGCGUUAUCCGGAUUUAUUGGGUGUAAAGGGCGUGUAGGCGGGAGCGCAAGUCAGAUGUGAAAACUCAGGGCUCAACCCUGAGCCUGCAUUUGAAACUGUGUUUCUUGAGUGCUGGAGAGGCAAUCGGAAUUCCGGGUGUAGCGGUGAAAUGCGUAGAUAUACGGAGGAACACCAGUGGCGAAGGCGGAUUGCUGGACAGUAACUGACGCUGAGGCGCGAAAGCGUGGGGAGCAAACAGGAUUAGAUACCCCUGUAGUC
Molecule: ribosomal RNA, 443 nt
Filed under: uncultured bacterium
Lineage: Bacteria
Description: partial 16S ribosomal RNA
Rfam family: Bacterial small subunit ribosomal RNA
Source: RNAcentral